GACGAACGCUGGCGGCGUGCUUAACACAUGCAAGUCGAACGAUGAAGCCUUUCGGGGUGGAUUAGUGGCGAACGGGUGAGUAACACGUGGGCAAUCUGCCCUUCACUCUGGGACAAGCCCUGGAAACGGGGUCUAAUACCGGAUAACACCUACCUCCUCCUGGGGGUUGGUUAAAAGCUCCGGCGGUGAAGGAUGAGCCCGCGGCCUAUCAGCUUGUUGGUGGGGUAAUGGCCUACCAAGGCGACGACGGGUAGCCGGCCUGAGAGGGCGACCGGCCACACUGGGACUGAGGCACGGCCCAGACUCCUACGGGAGGCAGCAGUGGGGAAUAUUGCACAAUGGGCGAAAGCCUGAUGCAGCGACGCCGCGUGAGGGAUGACGGCCU
Molecule: ribosomal RNA, 385 nt
Filed under: uncultured bacterium
Lineage: Bacteria
Description: bacterial SSU rRNA
Rfam family: Bacterial small subunit ribosomal RNA
Source: RNAcentral